AGCGAACGCUGGCGGCAGGCUUAACACAUGCAAGUCGAACGCCAUCUUCGGAUGGAGUGGCAGACGGGUGAGUAACGCGUGGAAACAUACCUUUUGCUUCGGAAUAUUCCCGGGAAACUGGGCGCAAUACCGAAUACGCCCUGAGGGGGAAAGAUUUAUCGGCAAAAGAUUGGUCCGCGUUAGAUUAGGUAGUUGGUAGGGUAAUGGCCUACCAAGCCUACGGUCUAUAGCUGGUCUGAGAGGAUGAUCAGCCACAUUGGGACUGAGACACGGCCCAAACUCCUACGGGAGGCAGCAGUGGGGAAUAUUGGACAAUGGGCGAAAGCCUGAUCCAGCCAUGCCGCGUGAAUGAUGAAGGCCUUAGGGUUGUAAAAUUCUUUCACCGGGGACGAUAAUGACGGUACCCGGAGAAGAAGCCCCGGCUAACUUCGUGCCAGCCGCCGCAGUAA
RNAcentral lists this ribosomal RNA (449 nucleotides) under uncultured bacterium. Its description in RNAcentral is "partial 16S ribosomal RNA". It matches the Rfam family "Bacterial small subunit ribosomal RNA", at positions 29 to 523 of the family's 1533-position model. The record is from RNAcentral.